Molecule: ribosomal RNA, 460 nt
Filed under: uncultured bacterium
Lineage: Bacteria
Description: partial 16S ribosomal RNA
Rfam family: Bacterial small subunit ribosomal RNA
Source: RNAcentral
CCUACGGGAGGCAGCAGUGAGGAAUAUUGGUCAAUGGGCGCGAGCCUGAACCAGCCAAGUAGCGUGAAGGAUGACUGCCCUACGGGUUGUCACCUUCUUUUAUAAAGGAAUAAAGUGAGGCACGUGUGCCUUUUUGUAUGCACUUUAUGACUAAGGAUCGGCUAACUCCGUGCCAGCAGCGGCGGUAAUACGGAGGAUCCGAGCGUUAUCCGGAUUUAUUGGGUUUAAAGGGAGCGUAGGUGGGUUGGUAAGUCAGAUGUGAAAGUAUGCGGCUCAACCGUAAAAUUGCAAUUGAUACUGGCAAUCUAGAGGACAGUAGAGGUAAGCGGAAUUCGUGGUGUAGCGGUGAAAUGCUUAGAUAUCACGAAGAACUCCAAUUGCGAAGGCAGCUUACUAAACUGCCACUGACAUUGAUGCUCGAAAGUGUGGGUAUCAAACAGGAUUAGAUACCCGUGUAGUC